AGAUUUCGCUCCUUAAGCUUUUAUUUCAGUAGUCCGGCAAGACCGAACAACAAACUCCAAACUAAAUGUAAAGUAACAUACAAACAAUAACAAUAUAUAUAAACACAAGCAAUUAAAGGAUUACGCAGAUUAACAGAUGACAAAUUAGAAAUAACAAUAGAUUAAAAGAGAAAUUAGUGUCCGACACGUAUUUGUAAAUUACAGUCGAAACUGUCACAGAGAAUAAAUAAUGAGAUAAAUAGAGUAAAUGCAUUUAAGUCCUUUGUCCAAGAUUAUGACACAUAAUCCGUGUAAAACACUUAUGCCUAAAUUUACGAGAAAGUCUAGAAUAGUGAAAUAAAUGCAAA
Molecule: long non-coding RNA, 347 nt
Filed under: Mytilus galloprovincialis (Mediterranean mussel)
Lineage: Eukaryota; Metazoa; Mollusca; Bivalvia; Mytilida; Mytilidae
Source: RNAcentral